ACCACAUCAUUCUCUUGCGGAUAAGUCUUUUUUAAGUUCUCUCUGAGUGCUUGACUUACAAUGAGUACUGCUGACAAAAGUUUCUGCUUUUUUUAGCAGCUGGUCCAUUUCAAAGCUAAAUAUGAGAGAGGACAAAGUUCAAGUGGAAACUGAUUUUACUUUUUCCUUAAAGGUCCUAGAGUCGUUUCCUACGCCGGUUGGAUCUUAAAUAUUAAUGGGGAAAGUAACAUGACGAUAACAUGUGACACGAGCGUUUCCGUUUUCACCACAAUUUUCGACUAUAGUCUGUUGAGAGAGACUUUGACGAUAUCGGAUUAAAUUCAUCAUAAGCUCGUUACUCAUGGAACCAAAUAAUUUUCUAAUACACGAAAGAUAACCAAUCGAGAAGAAAUGGAUUACAUCAACACUCAUCACAUGUGGAAGCCGUUAGCGGCGAUCUCAUUAAACGAUAACCUGCGGACCAUCGUAACGGCGCCCAGCAUUCAAUCAAAAAAGUUCCACAAAAAGGUCACGAUGAUGGAAGUCUACACAACUCGAUCGCCUGCGACCGUUUUUUUUAACACGCACGAGAAUGACGACGACAGUAACGACGUGUGGCACAAAAUUAUUUUCGAUACGGAUUCGAACAGUAUAUUUAAUCGAUUAAAUGAUUCAGACGUAAAUAUUACAUCGUUAUCGUAUAAUUCAACGACCUCGUAUGGAAAUGGUAGUUUCUCUAACGAAACUAAUUACACUCAAGAAGUUGCCUGGCAUUUAGUUACUAUGAUUGGAACAGCAGUCGUUUUGGGUUUAUUGAUAUUAGCUACUGUUAU
This is a long non-coding RNA of Photinus pyralis (common eastern firefly), 812 nucleotides long. RefSeq lists it as uncharacterized. The transcript has 3 exons. NCBI's taxonomy places the organism in Eukaryota, Metazoa, Arthropoda, Insecta, Coleoptera, Lampyridae. The record is from RefSeq and is a predicted model, not a curated record.